This 240-nucleotide unclassified non-coding RNA is filed under the name soil metagenome. Its description in RNAcentral is "partial contains 5.8S ribosomal RNA, internal transcribed spacer 2, and large subunit ribosomal RNA". The record is from RNAcentral.
AACGGUCUAUACCUGCGGUACCUGCGGAGGGAUCAUUACCGAGCUUACAACUCCCAAACCCCCUGUGAACCUAUACCAUUACUGUUGCUUCGGCGGGUCAUUGCCCCGGGGAAAGGACGAGGUGCCGCCUAGGCUCCCCGGCCCGCCCCCGGAAACAGGCGCCUGCCGGGGGAAUCAAACUCUUCUGUAUUUUUUACUUUUACUGUUAUACUGUCUGAGUACAAAACUAUAAAUGAAUCA